UACGUAGGUGGCAAGCGUUGUCCGGAAUUACUGGGUGUAAAGGGUGCGUAGGCGGUUUUUAAAGUCAGAUGUGAAAUGCCGCAGCUUAACUGCGGAGCUGCAUUUGAAACUUAAAGACUUGAGUGAAGUAGAGGUAAGCGGAAUUCCUAGUGUAGCGGUGAAAUGCGUAGAUAUUAGGAGGAACACCAGUGGCGAAGGCGGCUUACUGGGCUUUAACUGACGCUGAAGCACGAAAGCAUGGGUAGCAAACAGG
RNAcentral lists this ribosomal RNA (253 nucleotides) under uncultured bacterium. RNAcentral's name for it is "partial 16S ribosomal RNA". It matches the Rfam family "Bacterial small subunit ribosomal RNA", at positions 524 to 776 of the family's 1533-position model. The record is from RNAcentral.